Molecule: unclassified non-coding RNA, 2292 nt
Filed under: Leishmania donovani
Lineage: Eukaryota; Euglenozoa; Kinetoplastea; Trypanosomatida; Trypanosomatidae
Description: gene:LdHU3.22.0440(CDS-product:Mitochondrial_carr ier_protein_putative)
Source: RNAcentral
AGGCUGACCCGGUGCACACGGAGGGCGUGACGUCACAGCGCGCACACUCACUAAGAGGAAAGCAGCAAGCACGCAAAACAACAAGCGGAAAAGACGGUGCCCUUUGAGUCUCAUGAGGGGAGGGACGUGCGCUCGCGUGGCCUUCUGCCUCUUUUCCUUCGCGUGUUGUGUUUCCUCCGUUCUUUCUUUGUGUUGGCGUUGAGGAGUAAUCAUGGGCGCGUCAUCCGCGCUCACAUGCUCUGUCAAAGAAGCCGGCUUCCGUGAGGUCGACGCCGUACGCGACGAGCAUGACAAGGAUAAUUUCUGUUACUCGGCCGGGCCGGCGCUUCUGAGUGGCGCGUCGCAGGCGAUUCUCUUCAACCCGAUCGACCGCGCCCUCUACGUGCGGGUCAAGUUUCGGCGGCAGCGCUUUCUCGAUAAGCGGAAUUUCGAGCGCCCCUUUCAAGGGUUCAUGAACGCUGUGGUGUAUCGCACACUGGUGGGGGCAUCCUACAUUUUCUGGCAGGACAGCAUGCGGAUCUCGAUCGAGCGCUUUGGUCCAGCCGCGUGUCAGUGGGACACGUCGCCGCAGCUGAACUCGAUGCUGAUCGGGCUCGCAGCCGGCUCCAUCAACGGGUUCAGCCUCAACGCGCUACAGGCCGUCAAGUUUCGAAUGUGGAACACGAACGAGCGCGGCGUCACGUUUCUGCGCACGGCCCUCCACAUGUACGGCGAGGGUGGAUGCCUGAUUUUCUUCCGCGGCUGCUUCACGACAAUGGUGCGGGACAGCGUCUUCGGCGUCGUUUACGAGACAUCGCGGCGCGCCUCUGCCUGGAAGCGCUUCUUCGAUGAGAAAGUAGGUGCUCUGUACGCCCUUUUCAGAACGCCGUCGUCGGCAUUGUCAUCGCCACAGCUGCUGGUGGGAGAAAGCGCGCGUGCUACCAAUGCCAGCAGGCGAUCCAGAGCCGAUGUUGGUGCAUCGACUCUGGAAAAGCCCGCAUUCGACGAUCUGAAAGCGAAUGAAACGGUGAGCGUAGGACACGAUGCAGUACUGGCGGGCCCCACACUAGAGUGCGGUGCGUCCGCGUUCAUCUCAAACCUGAUAGCGGCAGUUCUCGCCUCUAUUCUGAGCUCGCCUUUCAACUAUGUUCGCUCCAUCGUGUACGGUACGCCAGCUGGUGCCAUCCCGCUCGGCUACAUCCCGCUGCUAAAGUCGUUCUUCACGCAGUUCUACUACACGUAUAGACAUGGAAAGAGCUACACCGAUCGGCACGGCGUACCGGAGCUGGGCGAGACGGAGCACCCGUGCUCGGCAUCCGCCUCUUCCAGCUCUACGGCUUCGGCUGCAGAGCGCCGUUGGAGGCACGGUGGCAGCUCAUUCACAGGCGCCGAGGUGGCGGACUGCGUACAGGGAACCGCACGCGCAUCGAACUCGCCGGCGUCGCGCCUUGCCGCGCGGCUGCGAACAUGGGCUGAGCUGCAUCACCACCACCCGAAGGCGGCCUGGACAUGGGCUAACAGUCGACUCAACAUUGGCUGGGGGUCCCUUCGUGUCGGGUUUGGGAUGGCAAUGGGGCAAAGCCUCUUCUACCUCGCCCAAGACUACGUCCGCAAAGACGCUAGAUAAGGCCUUCCAUCUCCUGCAGGUUGGACUCCUGCACCUAUGCAGGGCCGUUGCACUGGCGUUCGGCACACACUCAUCACCGCCCUUACCCCUCCCCCCGAAAGCCAGUCGUCGCUUGCUGAGCUGAUGUUUGUGUGUGCGUGUGCGUGUCUUCCCUUUUCUUUUGGAGGAGCGGGUGGUAGGGUUGUUUGGUGCUCUUGUCUUCCUGAAACGAUAGAGCUAUUGAAGGAUGGCGGUGAAGCAGGUGUUGUGUGUUGUAGUAUUCUCUGUGGGGUUACCUACUCAGGACCUCUGUCUCUCUCUCUCUCUCUCGGUGUGUGACGGCAUCUUGCUUUCUUUUUUGUGGAAGCAGGUCAUGUGCCUCUGCGUGUGAGAGCUGGAGAUUUAUAUGCGUGUGUGUGCGUGUGUGCAUCUCACACUUUCCCCCGCCCUCCCCACAUCCACGAAAGACAUAGUGUAGACCUCCGCCAUGGGGACGAGCUCCACCCCUCCUCCCUCUUCGACGGGGUGGUGCUGGCCCACACACUCACAGACACAGGCACGUAGACGUGCAUCCACAGCGCUUGUUUCUUCCUUUCGCCUCCAUCCUGGAUGUGCGGGGCAAGUGCGCGCGACGACCUGCGCCUCCCUCUCGCACACCCUUGUACAUUGGCACAAGUGCACAUGGUGGCUUUUCUUUCUCUCUGAUC